Long non-coding RNA from Pezoporus occidentalis (night parrot), 1058 nucleotides. RefSeq lists it as uncharacterized. The record is from RefSeq and is a predicted model, not a curated record. The transcript has 2 exons. Lineage: Eukaryota; Metazoa; Chordata; Aves; Psittaciformes; Psittacidae.
CUUCUAUUCUCGCUGCAUUAUUCAUGUAUCUGGUAUCAGGAGUGUUGUUUGUCAAGCUAGUACAGUAGUCAUCAAUCAUCAAAGCUGUGAACUUGUCCUUCAGAUCCAUUUCCAGGUUAUAUUUUGCUGAACGGACUGUCCUCCUUGUAACUGGUUAGCACUGAAGGUAACUUCGGACCUGUGCUCAGCCUGACCCUACAACUUCUCAGGAAUAUGACUGGCCUACUUUUCAGCUUAUCAGUGUUCAGUUACACACUUUGCACCUGAUUUGCUCAUCAGUUUGUUCCAGCGUACGUCCAAGCAAAGCAAUAACCCCCUGGAGGAUUUCAACUUCCUUCACCAGUUCCUGUUCCACUUCAUCAUGCACCAAGUCAAUCCCAACUCUCCUCUGCCUAAACAAAAAGAGGAAAACCCAUCAGCCCUUGUUGAAAUGCCUGCAGCUAACAGAAGAUGAUGAAGCCCAGCUUUCCAAACUGAAGACUUUUUCUUGCCACAUAGAAGUUUUUCCUUUAUGACCUGGGUUCCCCAGUGUUACAAUAAAUCAGACUGUUACUCCACUGUCCUUAAUUUACAGCCUCUUCUAUUACUUGUUAAAAGUUGAUUACCUAGAUUUUUUUUUUUUUCUCUCUCUGAAUGCUUUUCUUCUAAUUAUCAUCUCACCUGUUCAGGAGACAUUUUUGGGCAAUGACAAGUGGCUCUUUGCAGCUCUCCAAUGAUUUCUCCAGGCGAGUCUUGAAUGUUAACAGUAACUCUGUCUCAUGCACAACUUCUUCAAGUUUGUUACUUAAUUCUUGCUUCCAGAAUUUUAUUUCUUCCCGUCUCUGCUCUGCAGAAUGAAAAUUGUAAACAGGUUUUAAUACAAGCCCAUCUCUACAUGUGAGACCACUGCGGGUCAGAUCUUAGAUAUGACUAAAAAUAGACUUAUUCCAUAGUGGAGUGGAUGUAAUGCUGUAGGCUGAUGUGUGGACAGUUUUGCAACCCCGUGUCAGGAAUUUUGGUUGCAAUAGCCUUCUGUGUGGUUUAUCUGUGUUACAAAAUAAAAAGUCUGCCUCAAAAUA